UAGUCCACGCCGUAAACGAUGUCUACUAGCCGUUGGGGGACUUGAUCCUUUAGUGGCGCAGCUAACGCGAUAAGUAGACCGCCUGGGGAGUACGGCCGCAAGGUUAAAACUCAAAUGAAUUGACGGGGCCCGCACAAGCGGUGGAGCAUGUGGUUUAAUUCGACGCAACGCGAAGAACCUUACCAACUCUUGACAUCCAGAGAAGUUACUAGAGAUAGUUUCGUGCCUUCGGGAGCGCUGAUACAGGUGCUGCAUGGCUGUCGUCAGCUCGUGUCGUGAGAUGUUGGGUUAAGUCCCGUAACGAGCGCAACCCUUGUCCUUAGUUGCCAGCACGUAAUGGUGGGAACUCUAGGGAGACUGCCGGUGACAAACCGGGAGGAAGGUGGGGACGGCGUCAAGUCAUCAUGGCCCUUACGACCUGGGGCUACACACGUGCUACAAUGGAACGCACAGAGGGGCAGCAAACCCGCGAGGGGGANCGGAAUCCCACAAAACGUUCGUAGUCCGGGAUCGGGAGUCUGCAACUC
Molecule: ribosomal RNA, 527 nt
Filed under: uncultured bacterium
Lineage: Bacteria
Description: bacterial SSU rRNA
Rfam family: Bacterial small subunit ribosomal RNA
Source: RNAcentral